ACCAGCUGAAGAUUUAUUUCAGUGAAUCCCAGAACUGCUGAUGAGAUCAAAGACACUAAGCACUGUAGAGAGGCAUCAAACAAGAACAUUGGACAUCGGCUACUUUGUGUCCUUAUGGUUUUCAACAGACUCAACAAAAUCAUGCAGGGAGAAGUAGAAUUAGCCACAGAUCUAGCGCGCUUUUUGAAGAGG
RNAcentral lists this long non-coding RNA (192 nucleotides) under Fukomys damarensis (Damara mole-rat). Its description in RNAcentral is "lncRNA (ENSFDAG00000022153.1)". Lineage: Eukaryota; Metazoa; Chordata; Mammalia; Rodentia; Bathyergidae. The record is from RNAcentral.